UACGAAGGGGGCGAGCGUUGUUCGGAUUUACUGGGCGUAAAGGGCGCGUAGGCGGCCUUGUCAGUCAGGCGUGAAAGCCCCGGGCUCAACCUGGGAACGGCGCUUGGGACGGCGAGGCUGGAGUUCGGGAGAGGAGAGUGGAAUUCCCAGUGUAGAGGUGAAAUUCGUAGAUAUUGGGAAGAACACCGGUGGCGAAGGCGGCUCUCUGGACCGACACUGACGCUGAGAUGCGAAAGCGUGGGGAGCAAACAGG
RNAcentral lists this ribosomal RNA (253 nucleotides) under uncultured bacterium. RNAcentral's name for it is "partial 16S ribosomal RNA". It matches the Rfam family "Bacterial small subunit ribosomal RNA", at positions 524 to 776 of the family's 1533-position model. The record is from RNAcentral.